This 253-nucleotide ribosomal RNA is filed under the name uncultured bacterium. RNAcentral's name for it is "partial 16S ribosomal RNA". It matches the Rfam family "Bacterial small subunit ribosomal RNA", at positions 524 to 776 of the family's 1533-position model. The record is from RNAcentral.
UACGUAGGGGGCAAGCGUUAUCCGGAAUGAUUGGGCGUAAAGCGUCCGCAGGUGGCUGUUCAAGUCUGCUGUCAAAGACCGGGGCUUAACUUCGGAAAGGCAGUGGAAACUGAACAGCUAGAGUAUGGUAGGGGCAGAGGGAAUUCCUGGUGUAGCGGUGAAAUGCGUAGAGAUCAGGAAGAACAUCGGUGGCGAAGGCGCUCUGCUGGACCAUAACUGACACUCAGGGACGAAAGCUAGGGGAGCGAAUGGG